AACGAACGCUGGCGGCAGGCCUAACACAUGCAAGUCGAGCGAGGACUUCGGUCCUAGCGGCGGACGGGUGAGUAACGCGUGGGAACGUGCCCUUUGCUUCGGAAUAGCCCUGGGAAACUGGGAGUAAUACCGGAUGAGCCCUUUGGGGGAAAGAUUUAUCGGCGAAGGAUCGGCCCGCGUUGGAUUAGGUGGUUGGUGGGGUAAUGGCCUACCAAGCCGACGAUCCAUAGCUGGUUUGAGAGGAUGAUCAGCCACACUGGGACUGAGACACGGCCCAGACUCCUACGGGAGGCAGCAGUGGGGAAUCUUAGACAAUGGAGGAAACCCUGAUAUAGCCAUGCCGCGUGAGCGAUGAAGGCCUUAGGGUUGUAAAGCUCUUUCAGCUGGGAAGAUAAUGACGGUACCAGCAGAAGAAGCCCCGGCUAACUCCGUG
RNAcentral lists this ribosomal RNA (433 nucleotides) under uncultured bacterium. Its description in RNAcentral is "partial 16S ribosomal RNA". It matches the Rfam family "Bacterial small subunit ribosomal RNA", at positions 29 to 507 of the family's 1533-position model. The record is from RNAcentral.